This 465-nucleotide ribosomal RNA is filed under the name uncultured bacterium. RNAcentral's name for it is "partial 16S ribosomal RNA". It matches the Rfam family "Bacterial small subunit ribosomal RNA", at positions 28 to 507 of the family's 1533-position model. The record is from RNAcentral.
GACGAACGCUGGCGGCGUGCUUAACACAUGCAAGUCGUACGGUAAGGCCCUUUCGGGGGUACACGAGUGGCGAACGGGUGAGUAACACGUGAGUAACCUGCCCACAACUGUGGGAGAACGCUAGGAAACUGGUGCUAAUACUGGAUAUGUGCUCCUGCUGCAUGGUGGGGGUUGGAAAGCUCCGGCGGUUGUGGAGGGACGCGCGGCCUAUCAGCUUGUUGGUGGGGGAGUGGCCUACCAAGGCGGCGACGGGUAGCCGGCCUGAGAGGGUGACCGGCCACCUUGGGACUGAGAUACGGCCCAGACUCCUACGGGGGGCAGCAGUGGGGAAUAUUGCACCAUGGGCGCGAGCCUGAUGCAGCAACGCCGCGUGCGGGAUGACGGCCUUCGGGUUGUAAACCGCUUUCCGCAGGGACGAAGCUUUUUGUGACGGUACCUGCAGAAGAAGCACCGGCUAACUACGUG